CGAACUUGUCCGAAGUUAUGACGUCACGCUAACCAUGACGUCAUCUAAACUUUGGACAGUCAGCCGGGUGUACUGAUCAGGUCGCGUAUUCCUAGGAAGAUGUCGCCUAGCUUGACUUUGGCGAUAUAUAUACUCCACUACGCGUCUACAAGUUUUCUGUGUUACGUUCAAAUGUCUCAACUGUCAUUUCUAGAACCUUUCUUCUAAUGUUCUCAUCUUCUUAGACGUCACAAUCUGACGUUUACGUCACUAACUCAGGUGUUUUCGUAAUUCGAAACCGGAAUGCGUUCUUCGAACGGUGUCGUUUUUCAGUCUAACAGUUUGAAACCGUGUGGCGAUGAAGUCGCCACGGCUACUUUUUAGUCCGUGUCUUUGACGAAAUAGACUUUUUUUAACGGGGGAUUUACGGACAAUAUUAUAUCAUAUCAUGUCGUGCAGUAAAUCUUUGAAGGCUACAGAUCUCCAUUCGUCUUGGAAAGUCGAGUUUGACUGGAAGGAUUUUCCGGAAGAACUUGUUCAGGGAUGUUGUGCUGUUGCAUCUGUUUUGUGCGUGCCAACGGUGGCUGUUUUAUAUAGCCUUAUCACGGUCGCGGCUUUUGCUGUAAGCCAUGCACAAGUCUCUCCACCUGACACCAAAUGGAGGAAAAAUGUUCUUCUGUGGACAGCCAUCUGUCUGCCAACAGGCGCUGGGAAAUCUACUAUCUGUAAAUGGAUUCAAGAACUUAUGACAGAUGUUUACACGAAGUUGCGGAA
Long non-coding RNA from Branchiostoma floridae (Florida lancelet), 753 nucleotides. RefSeq lists it as uncharacterized. The record is from RefSeq and is a predicted model, not a curated record. The transcript has 3 exons. Lineage: Eukaryota; Metazoa; Chordata; Leptocardii; Amphioxiformes; Branchiostomatidae.